This is a non-coding RNA of Hordeum vulgare subsp. vulgare (domesticated barley), 124 nucleotides long. NCBI's taxonomy places the organism in Eukaryota, Viridiplantae, Streptophyta, Magnoliopsida, Poales, Poaceae. The record is from Rfam.
GUUGUACUCCCUUCGUCCGAAAAUACUUGUCACAAGAAUGGAUGUAUUUAGAUGUAUUUUAGUUCUACGUACAUUCUUUUUUAUUCAUUUGUGGACAAGUAAUUUCAAACGAAGGGAGUAUAUU